AGGCUUACCACAUGCAAGUCGAGCGGAGCGAAGGUGCUUGCACCUUACCUUACCGGCGGACGGGUGAGUAAUGCUUAGGAAUCUGCCUAUUAGGGGGGGACAACGUUUCGAAAGGAACGCUAAUACCGCAUACGUCCUACGGGAGAAAGCAGGGGAUCUUCGGACCUUGUGCUAAUAAAUGACCCUAAGUCGGAUUAGCUAGUUGGGGGGGUAAAGGCCUACCAAGGCGACAAUCUGUAGCGGGUCUGAAAGGAUGAUCCGCCACACUGGGACUGAGACACGGCCCAAACUCCUACGGGAGGCAGCAGUGGGGAAUAUUGGACAAUGGGCGAAAGCCUGAUCCAGCCAUGCCGCGUGUGUGAAGAAGGCCUUUUGGUUGUAAAGCACUUUAAGCGAGGAGGAGGAGCUUCAGGUUAAUACCCUGGAUGCUUGGACGUUACUCGCAAAAUAAGCACCGGCUAACUCUGUG
This 469-nucleotide ribosomal RNA is filed under the name uncultured bacterium. Its description in RNAcentral is "bacterial SSU rRNA". It matches the Rfam family "Bacterial small subunit ribosomal RNA", at positions 44 to 507 of the family's 1533-position model. The record is from RNAcentral.